Molecule: non-coding RNA, 70 nt
Organism: Dipodomys ordii (Ord's kangaroo rat)
Lineage: Eukaryota; Metazoa; Chordata; Mammalia; Rodentia; Heteromyidae
Source: Rfam
GGGAAUGUGGCUUAGUGGUAGAGUGCUUGCCUAUCAUGCAUGAAGCCCCAGGAUCGAUUCCUCAGUGCCA